Non-coding RNA from Macaca mulatta (Rhesus monkey), 411 nucleotides. The record is from RefSeq and is a predicted model, not a curated record. Lineage: Eukaryota; Metazoa; Chordata; Mammalia; Primates; Cercopithecidae.
AGCUAGCACCAGACCCUUGAUUGGUUAUAGUCUAAAGAAGUAUAGUUGUCUGAAAAGGCUUUAUCAGCGUGUGAACCCCACUGAUAUCUUAGGAAGAUGCACUGGUUGUCAUGGUAAAAGCUAUGCUAAUUGGCUUCCUCUAGUUGAUGUUCUGUCAAGCUCACUGCCCCACUGAGGAUUUGGAAUACAGCGCUUAACUUUUUGCUCUCAAAGAACAUGUUCCCAGCAAGUCAGCUGCCUCAGCAGAAAAUGGAAGAUACAGGGAUACAUGUGCAGGUUUGUUACAUGAGAACAUUGCGUGAUGCUGAGGUUUGGAGUAUGGAUUCCACCACGCAGGGAGUGAGCAUAAUAUCUGAGACGGGGUUUCACCGUGUUAGCCAGGAUGGUCUCCAUCUCCUGACCUCGUGAUCU